This 493-nucleotide long non-coding RNA is filed under the name Trifolium pratense (red clover). RNAcentral's name for it is "long non-coding RNA (TPRA_LNC006076)". The record is from RNAcentral. Lineage: Eukaryota; Viridiplantae; Streptophyta; Magnoliopsida; Fabales; Fabaceae.
AGGGCUUCCUCGAAGCAAAGUGUGUACCUGAAUAAUUUACAUACAGCGGAUACAUUAAGUUCAUCAACCAAAAGACACGAGUUAUGAACUGAAUAUAUCACAAGGCCAAAAGGCACUAAACAUAUCUGAGUAUAAAUGUAUAAGACAUACAGUCAUCCAAAAUACAAACUAGGCCCUAAGCCUAACCAAAAUGUAGUCUAACAAGUGCUAACAUCUACUCUCCGGCAUAAUCUACGAAGUCCUCGCCAUCCACACGACCCACAGUCUCGCUUGGCUCUCCGUCAUCUAAGGUGGGGGAUAACCCGUUCAUUUAUCACAUACAAAGCAAGGGUCACCAUAUGGAAACAGGAAAUACAAAUACCAAAUACCAAAUAGAAAGCGGCUAAACACUUAUCAUUUUCCUCAACACACGCAUAAUAAAUAAAAUGCGCACAUAGCCUAAUGCAAACCUCUAAUGAAUGAGUUUGGCACCCCGUCACAGGAUCGCCACGGU